AAGGAUUUAAGUUAAAAAAACUCACAGCCUUCAAAGCUGUAAAUAAAGAAUUCUCUUUAAGCCUUA
This 66-nucleotide transfer RNA is filed under the name Sambus kanssuensis. RNAcentral's name for it is "tRNA-Trp". Lineage: Eukaryota; Metazoa; Arthropoda; Insecta; Coleoptera; Buprestidae. The record is from RNAcentral.